GUAAACUAAUAUCAAUGGCAUAAUCAGCUAACGAGCAAAUAAUAAUGAGUUUCAAAUACCAACACUUCAAUCAAAACAAGCAUGAAGCAAUAUGAAUAGGUGGUAUCUCGCUAGCUCUUUCUGAGACCGCAAAACAUAAAUGCAUAGCACUUUCAAAGAUCAAGGGCUGACUAAACAUUGUAAUUCAUAGCAACGAAGAUCCAGUCAUAGUCAUACUCAAUAUCAAUCAAAAGCAAAGCAUAAAAAUGACAGAGGUGCUCUCUAAUUGGUGCUUAUAUAAGAAGAGGAUGACUGAACAGGAAAAUAAGUAGAC
This 313-nucleotide long non-coding RNA is filed under the name Hordeum vulgare. RNAcentral describes it as "long non-coding RNA (HVUL_LNC011899)". The record is from RNAcentral. Lineage: Eukaryota; Viridiplantae; Streptophyta; Magnoliopsida; Poales; Poaceae.